UUCUAUGGGCGGGUCGUGGUGGGAGAGCCGCAAGGCUCGCUGGUUUGGUUUAGUGCCAGUCUGUCAAUCCCGCCACGUGCCCGCUCACCCCU
This 92-nucleotide non-coding RNA is filed under the name Paraburkholderia sp. RAU2J. Lineage: Bacteria; Pseudomonadati; Pseudomonadota; Betaproteobacteria; Burkholderiales; Burkholderiaceae. The record is from RNAcentral.